Non-coding RNA from Halenospora varia, 83 nucleotides. The record is from the annotation of a GenBank genome assembly. Lineage: Eukaryota; Fungi; Ascomycota; Leotiomycetes; Helotiales; Solenopeziaceae.
GGCUCUGUGGUGCAAUUGGAAGCAUAUACAUUCUCACCAUAGAGAAUCUCAGUAAGAUGUGGGUUCGAAUCCCGCCGGAGCUC